UUUGAUCCUGGCUCAGAUUGAACGCUGGCGGCAGGCCUAACACAUGCAAGUCGAGCGGCAGCACGGGAAGCUUGCUUCCUGGUGGCGAGCGGCGGACGGGUGAGUAAUGCAUAGGAAUCUGCCCGGUAGUGGGGGAUAACCUGGGGAAACCCAGGCUAAUACCGCAUACGUCCUACGGGAGAAAGCAGGGGCUCUUCGGACCUUGCGCUAUCGGAUGAGCCUAUGUCGGAUUAGCUGGUUGGUGAGGUAAUGGCUCACCAAGGCGACGAUCCGUAGCUGGUCUGAGAGGAUGAUCAGCCACAUCGGGACUGAGACACGGCCCGAACUCCUACGGGAGGCAGCAGUGGGGAAUAUUGGACAAUGGGCGCAAGCCUGAUCCAGCCAUGCCGCGUGUGUGAAGAAGGCCCUCGGGUUGUAAAGCACUUUCAGUGGGGAAGAAAGCCUUCCGGUUAAUACCCGUCAGGAAGGACAUCACCCACAGAAGAAGCASCGGCUAACUCCGUGCCAGCAGCCGCGGUAAUACGGAGGGUGCGAGCGUUAAUCGGAAUUACUGGGCGUAAAGCGCGCGUAGGUGGCUUGAUAAGCCGGUUGUGAAAGCCCCGGGCUCAACCUGGGAACGGCAUCCGGAACUGUCAGGCUAGAGUGCAGGAGAGGAAGGUAGAAUUCCCGGUGUAGCGGUGAAAUGCGUAGAGAUCGGGAGGAAUACCAGUGGCGAAGGCGGCCUUCUGGACUGACACUGACACUGAGGUGCGAAAGCGUGGGUAGCAAACAGGAUUAGAUACCCUGGUAGUCCACGCCGUAAACGAUGUCGACUAGCCGUUGGGUCCUUCGCGGACUUUGUGGCGCAGUUAACGCGAUAAGUCGACCGCCUGGGGAGUACG
RNAcentral lists this ribosomal RNA (881 nucleotides) under uncultured Halomonas sp. RNAcentral describes it as "bacterial SSU rRNA". It matches the Rfam family "Bacterial small subunit ribosomal RNA", at positions 12 to 884 of the family's 1533-position model. The record is from RNAcentral. Lineage: Bacteria; Pseudomonadati; Pseudomonadota; Gammaproteobacteria; Oceanospirillales; Halomonadaceae.